GGUGAGGUCCGCCUGCAGGCAGGGGCAGCGGUUUGCUAAACCGUCGGUCGACUCCGGUCGGCCCGUGAGUUCGAAUCUCACUCUCACCG
This 89-nucleotide transfer RNA is filed under the name Kribbella antibiotica. Its description in RNAcentral is "tRNA-Ser". It matches the Rfam family "tRNA". From Rfam's summary of the family: Transfer RNA (tRNA) molecules are approximately 80 nucleotides in length. Their secondary structure includes four short double-helical elements and three loops (D, anti-codon, and T loops). Lineage: Bacteria; Bacillati; Actinomycetota; Actinomycetes; Propionibacteriales; Kribbellaceae. The record is from RNAcentral.